This 481-nucleotide ribosomal RNA is filed under the name uncultured bacterium. RNAcentral's name for it is "partial 16S ribosomal RNA". It matches the Rfam family "Bacterial small subunit ribosomal RNA", at positions 28 to 507 of the family's 1533-position model. The record is from RNAcentral.
GAUGAACGCUGGCGGCGUGCUUAACACAUGCAAGUCGAACGAAGCAUUUAAGACAGAUUACUUCGGUUUGAAGUCUUUUAUGACUGAGUGGCGGACGGGUGAGUAACGCGUGGGUAACCUGCCUCAUACAGGGGGAUAGCAGCUGGAAACGGCUGGUAAUACCGCAUAAGCGCACAGUACCACAUGGUACAGUGUGAAAAACUCCGGUGGUAUGAGAUGGACCCGCGUCUGAUUAGCUUGUUGGCGGGGUAACGGCCCACCAAGGCGACGAUCAGUAGCCGAACUGAGAGGGUGACCGGCCACAGUGGGACUGAGACACGGACCAGACUCCUACGGGAGGCAGCAGUGGGGAAUAUUGCACAAUGGAGGAAACUCUGAUGCAGCGACGCCGCGUGAGUGAAGAAGUAGUUCGCUAUGUAAAGCUCUAUCAGCAGGGAAGAUAGUGACGGUACCUGACUAAGAAGCUCCGGCUAAAUACGUG